Molecule: ribosomal RNA, 495 nt
Filed under: uncultured bacterium
Lineage: Bacteria
Description: partial 16S ribosomal RNA
Rfam family: Bacterial small subunit ribosomal RNA
Source: RNAcentral
ACGAACGCUGGCGGCGUGCCUAAUACAUGCAAGUUGAGCGAUGAAGAUUGGUGCUUGCACCAAUUUGAAGAGCAGCGAACGGGUGAGUAACGCGUGGGGAAUCUGCCUUUGAGCGGGGGACAACAUUUGGAAACGAAUGCUAAUACCGCAUAACAACUUUAAACAUAAGUUUUAAGUUUGAAAGAUGCAAUUGCAUCACUCAAAGAUGAUCCCGCGUUGUAUUAGCUAGUUGGUGAGGUAAAGGCUCACCAAGGCGAUGAUACAUAGCCGACCUGAGAGGGUAAUCGGCCACAUUGGGACUGAGACACGGCCCAAACUCCUACGGGAGGCAGCAGUAGGGAAUCUUCGGCAAAGGACGAAAGUCUGACCGAGCAACGCCGCGUGAGUGAAGAAGGUUUUCGGAUCAUAAAACUCUGUUGGUAGAGAAGAACGUUGGUGAGAGUGGAAAGCUCAUCAAGUGACGGUAACGACCCAGAAAGGGACGGCUAACUACGU